Molecule: ribosomal RNA, 447 nt
Filed under: uncultured bacterium
Lineage: Bacteria
Description: bacterial SSU rRNA
Rfam family: Bacterial small subunit ribosomal RNA
Source: RNAcentral
UGGGGAAUCUUGGACAAUGGGCGCAAGCCUGAUCCAGCCAUGCCGCGUGAGUGAUGAAGGCCUUAGGGUUGUAAAGCUCUUUUGGCGGGGACGAUAAUGACGGUACCCGCAGAAUAAGUCCCGGCUAACUUCGUGCCAGCAGCCGCGGUAAUACGAAGGGGACUAGCGUUGUUCGGAAUCACUGGGCGUAAAGCGCACGUAGGCGGAUUUGUAAGUCAGGGGUGAAAUCCCGGGGCUCAACCUCGGAACUGCCUUUGAUACUGGCUGUCUCGAGGUCGAGAGAGGUUGGUGGAAUUCCUAGUGUAGAGGUGAAAUUCGUAGAUAUUAGGAAGAACACCAGUGGCGAAGGCGGCCAACUGGCUCGAUACUGACGCUGAGGUGCGAAAGCGUGGGGAGCAAACAGGAUUAGAUACCCUAGUAGUCCCUGAGCGGGCUGGCAAGGCGCAU